This 456-nucleotide small RNA is filed under the name Pongo abelii (Sumatran orangutan). Its description in RNAcentral is "processed transcript". The record is from RNAcentral. Lineage: Eukaryota; Metazoa; Chordata; Mammalia; Primates; Hominidae.
GACACCUACAAUGCGGACAUUGACUGCCAGUGGAUCGACAUAACCGACGUGCAGCCUGGGAACUACAUCCUCAAGGUGCACGUGAACCCAAAGUAUAUUGUUUUGGAGUCUGACUUCACCAACAACGUGGUGAGAUGCAACAUUCACUACACAGAUCCUGAUUUCUGGGAGGGACAGAUGGCCAAUCUCUCCCCCUCCAAAGCAGGCCCUGCUCCCCGGGCAGCCUCCCGCCGAGGGGCCCAGCCCCCAACCCACAGGCAGGGGCAUCCCUCCCUGCCGGCCUCAGGGAGCAAACGUGGAUGAAAACCACAGGGAUUCCGGAUGCCAGACCCCAUUUUAUACUUCACUUUUCUCUACAGUGUUGUUUUGUUGUUGGUGGUUUUUAUUUUUUAUACUUUGGCCAUACCACAGAGCUAGAUUGCCCAGGUCUGGGCUGAAUAAAACAAGGUUUUUCUA